UACGAAGGGGGCUAGCGUUGCUCGGAAUCACUGGGCGUAAAGCGCACGUAGGCGGGUCGUUAAGUCGGGGGUGAAAUCCUGGAGCUCAACUCCAGAACUGCCUUCGAUACUGGCGAUCUUGAGUCUGGGAGAGGUGAGUGGAACUCCGAGUGUAGAGGUAAAAUUCGUAGAUAUUCGGAAGAACACCAGUGGCGAAGGCGGCUCACUGGCCCGGUACUGACGCUGAGGUGCGAAAGCGUGGGGAGCAAACAGG
RNAcentral lists this ribosomal RNA (253 nucleotides) under uncultured bacterium. RNAcentral describes it as "partial 16S ribosomal RNA". It matches the Rfam family "Bacterial small subunit ribosomal RNA", at positions 524 to 776 of the family's 1533-position model. The record is from RNAcentral.